GACGAACGCUGGCGGCGUGCUUAACACAUGCAAGUCGAACGGAAAGGCCCUGCUUUUGUGGGGUGCUCGAGUGGCGAACGGGUGAGUAACACGUGAGUAACCUGCCCUUGACUUUGGGAUAACUUCAGGAAACUGGGGCUAAUACCGGAUAGGAGCUCCUGCUGCAUGGUGGGGGUUGGAAAGUUUCGGCGGUUGGGGAUGGACUCGCGGCUUAUCAGCUUGUUGGUGGGGUAGUGGCUUACCAAGGCUUUGACGGGUAGCCGGCCUGAGAGGGUGACCGGCCUGAGUGAGACAGAGAGGCGGCCGAGACUGAUACGGGGGGAAGAGGGGGGGAGGAUGGAAGGAUGGGCGGAGGCGUCGUGGCGCCACGCGGGGGGCGGGAGGACGGGCGUCGGGUUGUAUACCGCUUGGGGUUGGGAGGUAGGGGGGGGGACGGUAAGGGGUAAAGAAGCACCGGCCAACUCGGUGCCAGAGGCGGCGGUAAUGGCCGAAGCGCAUACGUCCGAAC
This 508-nucleotide ribosomal RNA is filed under the name uncultured bacterium. Its description in RNAcentral is "partial 16S ribosomal RNA". It matches the Rfam family "Bacterial small subunit ribosomal RNA", at positions 33 to 541 of the family's 1533-position model. The record is from RNAcentral.